UCGUUCUGUUUCAUCUUUCAGUAUAUUUUCUUACAUAUUCAGUACAUUUUUUUGUACUAACGUCUCUUUUCUGGGGGCGCUACAUUUCGUGCGUGCAGGUUCAGACAGUCAAGCAGGUAAAUCUCCUCAUUAAGUAUUGCCCGAGUUCAACUUGAUCGGUAAGUUUCAUGUCUUUCUGAGUUGCCGGGUCUAAAGUUUUCUGU
This 203-nucleotide long non-coding RNA is filed under the name Nicotiana benthamiana. RNAcentral describes it as "long non-coding RNA (NBEN_LNC040299)". The record is from RNAcentral. Lineage: Eukaryota; Viridiplantae; Streptophyta; Magnoliopsida; Solanales; Solanaceae.